RNAcentral lists this ribosomal RNA (459 nucleotides) under uncultured bacterium. Its description in RNAcentral is "partial 16S ribosomal RNA". It matches the Rfam family "Bacterial small subunit ribosomal RNA", at positions 338 to 795 of the family's 1533-position model. The record is from RNAcentral.
CCUACGGGUGGCAGCAGUGAGGAAUAUUGGUCAAUGGUCGGGAGACUGAACCAGCCAAGCCGCGUGAGGGAUGAAGGUACAGAGUAUCGUAAACCUCUUUUGUCAGGGAACAAAGGCGGGGACGUGUCCCCGGAUGAGUGUAUCUGAAGAAAAAGCAUCGGCUAACUCCGUGCCAGCAGCCGCGGUAAUACGGAGGAUGCGAGCGUUAUCCGGAUUUAUUGGGUUUAAAGGGUGCGAAGGCGGUCUGUUAAGUCAGCGGUAAAAGCCCGGGGCUCAACCCCGGCCCGCCGUUGACACUGGCAGUCUCGAGUUGGAGAGAAGUAUGCGGAAUGCGCGGUGUAGCGGUGAAAUGCAUAGAUAUCGCGCAGAACUCCGAUUGCGAAGGCAGCAUGCCGGCUCCACACUGACGCUGAGGCACGAAAGCGUGGGUAUCGAACAGGAUUAGAUACCCUAGUAGUC